GAUGAAGAACGCAGCGAAAUGCGAUAAGUAAUGUGAAUUGCAGAAUUCAGUGAAUCAUCGAAUCUUUGAACGCACAUUGCGCCCCCUGGUAUUCCGGGGGGCAUGCCUGUCCGAGCGUCAUUACAACCCUCAAGCUCAGCUUGGUGUUGGGCCCCGCCGCCCCGGCGGGCCCUAAAGUCAGUGGCGGUGCCGUCCGGCUCCGAGCGUAGUAAUUCUUCUCGCUCUGGAGGUCCGGUCGUGUGCUCGCCAGCAACCCCCAAUUUUUUUCAGGUUGACCUCGGAUCAGGUAGGGAUACCCGCUGAACUUAAGCAUAUCAGUAAGCGGAGGA
This 329-nucleotide unclassified non-coding RNA is filed under the name soil metagenome. Its description in RNAcentral is "partial contains 5.8S ribosomal RNA, internal transcribed spacer 2, and large subunit ribosomal RNA". The stretch from base 1 to 120 matches the Rfam family "5.8S ribosomal RNA", at positions 35 to 154 of the family's 154-position model. The record is from RNAcentral.